Molecule: long non-coding RNA, 270 nt
Filed under: Musa acuminata (dwarf banana)
Lineage: Eukaryota; Viridiplantae; Streptophyta; Magnoliopsida; Zingiberales; Musaceae
Description: long non-coding RNA (MACU_LNC005866)
Source: RNAcentral
CUAGUUGUAUUGGUCUCAAUCCGUAUUCUGGAAGAAGACAGAUGAAACCAGUUCAAAAAUUCAUCUUGAGCUCACUUUGACUAUGAUGACACUGGUAGAAGAAUCUCUAUCCACAUAGGUAGGAAAAUAAAAGUAAAUAUCUUUAGAAUUUCAUGUUUAGGUUCUUCAAAUCUAUAUGUCAAACUCGCAAGUCAUGAUUGGGGAUAUGUAGGUGUUGAGGGCCCCUGGAGUCUUCUUCCUAAGUGAAGCUCUCACUGUCUUGCCACUCUG